UACGUAGGUGGCGAGCGUUGUCCGGAAUCAUUGGGCGUAAAGAGCGCGUAGGUGGCUUGUCAGGUCUGAUGUGAAAUUUCGGGGCUCAACCCCGAACGUGCAUCGGAAACCGGCUUGCUAGAGUCUGGGAGAGGAGAGUGGAAUUCCUGGUGUAGCGGUGAAAUGCGUAGAUAUCAGGAGGAACACCGGUAGCGAAGGCGGCUCUCUGGAACAGUACUGACGCUGAGGCGCGAAAGCUAGGGGAGCGAAC
RNAcentral lists this ribosomal RNA (250 nucleotides) under uncultured bacterium. Its description in RNAcentral is "partial 16S ribosomal RNA". It matches the Rfam family "Bacterial small subunit ribosomal RNA", at positions 524 to 773 of the family's 1533-position model. The record is from RNAcentral.